RNAcentral lists this ribosomal RNA (429 nucleotides) under Acidobacteriota bacterium. RNAcentral's name for it is "Acidobacteria bacterium partial 16S ribosomal RNA". It matches the Rfam family "Bacterial small subunit ribosomal RNA", at positions 355 to 776 of the family's 1533-position model. The record is from RNAcentral. Lineage: Bacteria; Pseudomonadati; Acidobacteriota.
UGGGGAAUCUUCCGCAAUGGACGAAAGUCUGACGGAGCAACGCCGCGUGAGUGAUGAAGGCCUUCGGGUUGUAAAACUCUGUUGUCAGGGACGAACGUGCCGAUCUACAAUACAUUUCGGCAGUGACGGUACCUGACGAGGAAGCCACGGCUAACUACGUGCCAGCAGCCGCGGUAAUACGUAGGUGGCAAGCGUUGUCCGGAAUUAUUGGGCGUAAAGGGCAUGUAGGCGGGCUUUUAAGUCCGACGUGAAAAUGCGGGGCUUAACCCCGUAUGGCGUUGGAUACUGGAAGUCUUGAGUGCAGGAGAGGAAAGGGGAAUUCCCAGUGUAGCGGUGAAAUGCGUAGAUAUUGGGAGGAACACCAGUGGCGAAGGCGCCUUUCUGGACUGUGUCUGACGCUGAGAUGCGAAAGCCAGGGUAGCAAACGGG